RNAcentral lists this ribosomal RNA (3485 nucleotides) under Mycobacterium tuberculosis TKK_03_0022. RNAcentral describes it as "bacterial LSU rRNA". It matches the Rfam family "Bacterial large subunit ribosomal RNA". Lineage: Bacteria; Bacillati; Actinomycetota; Actinomycetes; Mycobacteriales; Mycobacteriaceae. The record is from RNAcentral.
GUAAGUGUCUAAGGGCGCAUGGUGGAUGCCUUGGCAUCGAGAGCCGAUGAAGGACGUGGGAGGCUGCGAUAUGCCUCGGGGAGCUGUCAACCGAGCGUGGAUCCGAGGAUUUCCGAAUGGGGAAACCCAGCACGAGUGAUGUCGUGCUACCCGCAUCUGAAUAUAUAGGGUGCGGGAGGGAACGCGGGGAAGUGAAACAUCUCAGUACCCGUAGGAGGAGAAAACAAUUGUGAUUCCGCAAGUAGUGGCGAGCGAACGCGGAACAGGCUAAACCGCACGCAUGGGUAACCGGGUAGGGGUUGUGUGUGCGGGGUUGUGGGAGGAUAUGUCUCAGCGCUACCCGGCUGAGAGGCAGUCAGAAAGUGUCGUGGUUAGCGGAAGUGGCCUGGGAUGGUCUGCCGUAGACGGUGAGAGCCCGGUACGCGAAAACCCGGCACCUGCCUAGUAUCAAUUCCCGAGUAGCAGCGGGCCCGUGGAAUCCGCUGUGAAUCCGCCGGGACCACCCGGUAAGCCUAAAUACUCCUCGAUGACCGAUAGCGGAUUAGUACCGUGAGGGAAUGGUGAAAAGUACCCCGGGAGGGGAGUGAAAGAGUACCUGAAACCGUGUGCCUACAAUCCGUCAGAGCCUCCUUUUCCUCUCCGGAGGAGGGUGGUGAUGGCGUGCCUUUUGAAGAAUGAGCCUGCGAGUCAGGGACAUGUCGCAAGGUUAACCCGUGUGGGGUAGCCGCAGCGAAAGCGAGUCUGAAUAGGGCGACCCACACGCGCAUACGCGCGUGUGAAUAGUGGCGUGUUCUGGACCCGAAGCGGAGUGAUCUACCCAUGGCCAGGGUGAAGCGCGGGUAAGACCGCGUGGAGGCCCGAACCCACGUACGUUGAAAAGUGCGGGGAUGAGGUGGGGGUAGCGGAGAAAUUCCAAUCGAACUCGGAGAUAGCUGGUUCUCCCCGAAAUAGCUUUAGGGCUAGCCUCGGUGAAUGGAGGAAGUCAGAGCCCGAUCUAUGGGUGAUGGCGUGCCUUUUGUAGAAUGAACCGGCGAGUUACGUUUAACAUGCAAGGUUAAGGUGAGAAGCCGGAGCCGCAGCGAAAGCGAGUCUGAAUAGGGCGACUCACACGCGCAUACGCGCGUGUGAAUAGUGGCGUGUUCUGGACCCGAAACCGUGUGAUCUACCCCUGUCCAGGGUGAAGCGCGGGUAAGACCGCGUGGAGGCCCGAACCCACUUAGGUUGAAGACUGAGGGGAUGAGCUGUGGGUAGGGGUGAAAGGCCAAUCAAACUCCGUGAUAGCUGGUUCUCCCCGAAAUGCAUUUAGGUGCAGCGUUGCGUGGUUCACCGCGGAGGUAGAGCUACUGGAUGGCCGAUGGGCCCUACUAGGUUACUGACGUCAGCCAAACUCCGAAUGCCGUGGUGUAAAGCGUGGCAGUGAGACGGCGGGGGAUAAGCUCCGUACGUCGAAAGGGAAACAGCCCAGAUCGCCGGCUAAGGCCCCCAAGCGUGUGCUAAGUGGGAAAGGAUGUGCAGUCGCAAAGACAACCAGGAGGUUGGCUUAGAAGCAGCCACCCUUGAAAGAGUGCGUAAUAGCUCACUGGUCAAGUGAUUGUGCGCCGAUAAUGUAGCGGGGCUCAAGCACACCGCCGAAGCCGCGGCACAUCCACCUUGUGGUGGGUGUGGGUAGGGGAGCGUCCCUCAUUCAGCGAAGCCACCGGGUGACCGGUGGUGGAGGGUGGGGGAGUGAGAAUGCAGGCAUGAGUAGCGACAAGGCAAGUGAGAACCUUGCCCGCCGAAAGACCAAGGGUUCCUGGGCCAGGCCAGUCCGCCCAGGGUGAGUCGGGACCUAAGGCGAGGCCGACAGGCGUAGUCGAUGGACAACGGGUUGAUAUUCCCGUACCCGUGUGUGGGCGCCCGUGACGAAUCAGCGGUACUAACCACCCAAAACCGGAUCGAUCACUCCCCUUCGGGGGUGUGGAGUUCUGGGGCUGCGUGGGAACUUCGCUGGUAGUAGUCAAGCGAAGGGGUGACGCAGGAAGGUAGCCGUACCAGUCAGUGGUAACACUGGGGCAAGCCGGUAGGGAGAGCGAUAGGCAAAUCCGUCGCUCACUAAUCCUGAGAGGUGACGCAUAGCCGGUUGAGGCGAAUUCGGUGAUCCUCUGCUGCCAAGAAAAGCCUCUAGCGAGCACACACACGGCCCGUACCCCAAACCGACACAGGUGGUCAGGUAGAGCAUACCAAGGCGUACGAGAUAACUAUGGUUAAGGAACUCGGCAAAAUGCCCCCGUAACUUCGGGAGAAGGGGGACCGGAAUAUCGUGAACACCCUUGCGGUGGGAGCGGGAUCCGGUCGCAGAAACCAGUGAGGAGCGACUGUUUACUAAAAACACAGGUCUGUGCGAAGCCGCAAGGCGAAGUAUACGGGCUGACGCCUGCCCGGUGCUGGAAGGUUAAGAGGACCCGUUAACCCGCAAGGGUGAAGCGGAGAAUUUAAGCCCCAGUAAACGGCGGUGGUAACUAUAACGGUCCUAAGGUAGCGAAAUUCCUUGUCAGGUAAAUUCUGACCCGCACGAAUGGCGUAACGACUUGGGCGCUGUCUCAACGAGAGAUCCGGUGAAAUUUUAAUACCUGUGAAGAUGCAGGUUACCCGCGACAAGACGGAAAGACCCCAGGGAGCUUUACUGCAGCUUGAUAUUGAAUUUGGGUACGAUCUGUACAGGAUAGGUGGGAGACUGUGAAACCUCGACGCCAGUUGGGGCGGAGUCGUUGUUGAAAUACCACUCUGAUCGUAUUGGGCAUCUAACCUGGUACCCUAAGCGGGUACGGGGACCGUGUCAGGCGGGCAGUUUGACUGGGGCGGUCGCCUCCUAAAGAGUAACGGAGGCGUUCAAAGGUUCCCUCAGAAUGGUUGGAAAUCAUUCGAAGAGUGCAAAGGCAUAAGGGAGCUUGACUGCGAGACCUACAAGUCGAGCAGGGACGAAAGUCGGACUUAGUGAUCCGGUGGUACCGCAUGGAAGGGCCAUCGCUCAACGGAUAAAAGCUACCCUGGGGAUAACAGGCUUAUCUCCCCCAAGAGUCCACAUCGACGGGGAGGUUUGGCACCUCGAUGUCGGCUCAUCGCAUCCUGGGGCUGAAGUAGGUCCCAAGGGUUGGGCUGUUCGCCCAUUAAAGCGGUACGCGAGCUGGGUUCAGAACGUCGUGAGACAGUUCGGUCCCUAUCUGUCGUGGGCGUAGGAAAUUUGAGAGGAGCUGUCCUUAGUACGAGAGGACCGGGAUGGACGUACCGCUGGUGCACCAGUUGUUCCGCCAGGAGCAUGGCUGGGUAGCUACGUACGGACGGGAUAAGCGCUGAAAGCAUCUAAGCGUGAAGCCCCCCUCAAGAUGAGAUUUCCCACCCACUUGGUGGGAUAAGGCCCCCCGCAGAACACGGGUUCAAUAGGUCAGACCUGGAAGCUCAGUAAUGGGUGUAGGGAACUGGUGCUAACCGGCCGAAAACUUACAACA